AGACCAUGCAGAUAAAGCUUUAAAACACACACACCUGGGCUGUCAGAGGGCCGCUCCGGAGAUUUACCCAGUUCUUAGGGUUGCUGUGGAGACAAGGUGACUCACGUACAGUGUGAGAAUAGUGCCCCAUACGUAGCACUUGCUUAACAACCACUGCCAUCCCUGGGAUGAUGAACACCAGAGAUGACAGGCAGCGGCAUGAGAAGCAGACAAGACCACUACAUAUUUUGAAAGAUUCAAAUCUUCUGGAAGCCCGAUGACCUUUAUGUAAUUAAGACCCAAGACCAAGAGGGAGCUCUCUCCGAACAGCGAACAGCUGACCUCCGCUCUGGGCGCCCUCCCGAAGGCUGCCACAGGAAAUGCGAC
Molecule: long non-coding RNA, 366 nt
Organism: Phyllostomus hastatus (greater spear-nosed bat)
Lineage: Eukaryota; Metazoa; Chordata; Mammalia; Chiroptera; Phyllostomidae
Exons: 3
Source: RefSeq, a predicted model, not a curated record